Molecule: non-coding RNA, 2465 nt
Organism: Callithrix jacchus (white-tufted-ear marmoset)
Lineage: Eukaryota; Metazoa; Chordata; Mammalia; Primates; Cebidae
Source: RefSeq, a predicted model, not a curated record
AUGCGCCGGGAGGGCAGCGUCUGCGCUGUCGUGUGCUUCAGCAUCCUUUGCGCCCUCGGCCCCUCCUGAGGAGCGUGGGAACCCAGCGUGCGGGCUUUAUUCGGGAAAGCGGUGGUUGUUCACGGGGGCACGUUUCCGGAAAGGUGAAUACUGGAGAAAGUUAGGUUGCAGGCGAGGUAGACUCCCACGACGCACUUACGGGAUGAAUAUUGGCACAUCAUUUGCUUGCUGCUCCCGUGCAGUGAGUGCACCUGUGCGUUUUAAUGCUGGAUCAAAUUUGUGGAAAGAGGCGCGCCUGAAGACUGGAUUGCUGAGCUGCGCGCCACUCUGUGUUUUUCCAAAGCGUUUUUGAAAUCGUCUUUCAACCUGUUUGCAUAAAGGGACAUCUCUUAAAUGCAGCAAGCUUUAAUGCACUUUUGCCAAAGACAAUGAUUUGUAAAACCCAUAUUUCUUUUAUAUGAGGUUACUGCAGCAGUCGCUACUUCUGAAUUAGAUGAAAUUUUUAUGGGACGUAAGGUACCAGAGGAUUUAGAUCAAAUUUUGAAAACCUAUGAGAACAACAGAAAGGGUAAGUUAUGAUGUCAGCCGGUUCACCUUAGGUUCAAAAUUCCAACAGGCGGAAAUGUUCUAAAGCAUUGUUAUUCCUAGUGACUAGAAGAUUAAAUUACACUCUAAUUGAGAGCAAGCCUUAAAUGUCACCCCUUUUGGGCAUACAGCAUGGUAUCCAGUGCAAGCCCUCUGCAGAUUCAAUUUUUCUUUCUUUCUUUCUUUUUUUUUUUUUUUUAAAGAAAAAGACUAAAACAUAAGGGGACUGUUGAAGUGACGGGAAUGUUCUCUCAAUGGUGGUGAAACAGCUUUAUAAUAGUACCAUGGACUUGAUACUCUUCUACAGAAGCUUUUCUACUCUCUUGGCAGUAUCUCUGAAAGACCCAUAUUCAGUUUGUUUUUACAUUCUAAUGUAUUUCAAAGUUCUCUGUCUUCCACAGCAUGCAAAAUAAAAUAAUUUCUUUGCAUAUUUGCAUUACAGUUUAAGUUAGCAUGUGGAGAACAACAAAAACCAGUUAACCUAGAUCUGUGCUCUUCAAUAGUGUAGCCACUAACCACCUGUGGCUAUUGAGCUUUUGAAACAUGCCGUGUCAUGAAGUAACUGAAUAUUUAAUUUUAAUUUUAGGAAAUCAAAAAACUGACACUCGAUUCAGUUAUUGGAAAGUUUUUUUAAUCUGAUUGGAACAACUGAGGUAUUUGAAUCUACUUUUUCAACUGUAAAUUUUAUGAAAUCUAAAAACUGAUCAUUUCCCAGGUGUGGGUGGCUCUUAACUGUUUGCCAGCAUUUUGGGAGGCUGAGGCAGGAGGAUUGGUUGAGGUCAGGGAUCCAAAACCAGUUUGGGCAACACAGUGAGACCCCGUCUGUACAAAAAGUUUAAAAAUUAGCCAGGUGUGGUGGCACACACCCGUGGUCCCAACUACUCCAGAGGCUGAGGUGGGAGGAUCAAUUGGGCCAGGGAGGUUGAGGUUGCAGUGAGCUGUGAUUGUGCCACUGCAUUCCAGCCUGGCAACAGAGCUAGACCAUGUUUCUAUAAAAUAAAUACCAAUUACGUAUUUCUGAUGAAAUUAGGGAGGUUGUAAGGAGGUAUAGUAUAAAUGUAAAAUAUACACUGGAUUUGGAAGGCAGUAUAAAACUGUUAAAUGUCUCAGUAUUUUUGUAUUGAUUAUAUGUUGUAAUGCCUAUAGCUUAGCUAUAUCUUAGAUAUAUUGAGUUAAUAAAAUAAAUUAUUAGAAUUAAUUUCACCUGUUUUUAUAUUUCACUGUGUUUCCAAGAAAAUUUAUAAUGACAUAUGUGCUUUGCAUGAUAUUUUCAUUGCAGGCAAUGUGAAAAUGUUCAAAAUUAUGCAUUAAUGUGAAAAUGAUUUAAUAAACUAAUAGACUUUUUAGGCCUUUUGUUCAGAGAACAUGCUAAAUUUCCAUAUGCUAAAACAUAUUCAGUGUUCAAAAAUUUAAGUGUUUUUUUCCUGCUUAUCUACCUCAAGUGGUGAUCACUUUUUUUGUGAUUUAAAAGGUUCUACUAUUUUGACAACAUCUUUAAAAAGACUUUCAGAUAAGCUACACUUGUACAGAUACAUGCCUUAUAUAUUUUGCCUACAUAUGGCUGUAGUCUAAAUGUGUAUCGCAAAUUGCAUAUGUUGAAACUUCAUUGCCAAUAUGAUAAUAUUAAGAGAUUGGGCCAUUUGUGCAUGAUUUAAUCAUGAGGUGGAACGCUCAUGAAUGUGAUUAGAGACCUAAUAAAAGAGACCGAAGGGAUUGUCUUAGUCCCUUUUCCCCUUCAACCUUAAGCCAUAUGAAGACACAAGAAGAAGGUACCAUCCUUGGAAGCAGAGAGCAAACCCUUAUCAGACAUCAAACCUGCUGACUCCUUGAUGUGUAGCCUCCAGAACUUUAAGAAAUAAAUGUUGAUUAUUUAUAACUUA